RNAcentral lists this ribosomal RNA (673 nucleotides) under uncultured Acidobacteriota bacterium. RNAcentral's name for it is "bacterial SSU rRNA". It matches the Rfam family "Bacterial small subunit ribosomal RNA", at positions 77 to 782 of the family's 1533-position model. The record is from RNAcentral. Lineage: Bacteria; Pseudomonadati; Acidobacteriota.
CCGCAAGGGUGAGUAAAGUGGCGUACGGGUGAGUAACACGUGGGUAAUCUACCUUCUGGUGGGGGAUAACUCUGGGAAACCGGAGCUAAUACCGCAUAAGCCUGAAAAGGGAAAGGGGAAAUUCGCCGGAAGAGGAGCCCGCGGCCGAUUAGCUAGUUGGUGGGGUAAAGGCCUACCAAGGCGACGAUCGGUAGCCGGCCUGAGAGGGCACACGGCCACACUGGCACUGAAACACGGGCCAGACUCCUACGGGAGGCAGCAGUGGGGAAUCUUGCACAAUGGGGGCAACCCUGAUGCAGCGACGCCGCGUGAGCGAUUAAGCCCUUCGGGGUGUAAAGCUCUUUCGGCAGGAACGAUAAUGACGGUACCUGAAGAAGAAGCUGCGGCUAACUACGUGCCAGCAGCCGCGGUAAUACGUAGGCAGCGAGCGUUGUUCGGAGUUACUGGGCGUAAAGGGUGCGUAGGCGGUUUUCUAAGUCUGGUGUGAAAUCUCCCGGCUCAACUGGGAGGGUGCGCUAGAAACUGGAAAGCUCAGAGUAUGGGAGAGGUAGGCGGAAUUCCUGGUGUAGCGGUGAAAUGCGUAGAUAUCAGGAGGAACACCUGUGGUGUAGACGGCUUACUGGACCAUGACUGACGCUGAGGAGCGAAAGCAUGGGGAGCGAACAGGAUUAGA